AGAACGAACGCUGGCGGCGUGGAUAAGACAUGCAAGUCGAACGAGCUUAGUUUUGUAGCAAUACAGAGCUGAGCUAGUGGCGAACGGGUGCGUAACACGUGAGCAAUCUGCCUUAAAGUGGGGGAUAGCUCGCCGAAAGGCGAAUUAAUACCGCAUGUGGUUGUAAAACCAAAGCCGGGGCAACCUGGCGCUUUUAGAGGAGCUCGCGGCCUAUCAGCUUGUUGGUGAGGUAACGGCUCACCAAGGCUUCGACGGGUAGCUGGUCUGAGAGGACGACCAGCCACACUGGAACUGAGACACGGUCCAGACACCUACGGGUGGCAGCAGUCGAGAAUUUUUCUCAAUGGGGGAAACCCUGAAGGAGCGACGCCGCGUGGAGGAUGAAUGCUUUCGGGUUGUAAACUCCUGUCAUUUGGGAACAAAGCCUUACGUUAACUGCGUGGAGGUUUGAUAGUACCAGAAGAGGAAGAGACGGCUAACUCUGUGCCAGCAGCCGCGGUAAUC
RNAcentral lists this ribosomal RNA (504 nucleotides) under uncultured bacterium. RNAcentral's name for it is "SSU rRNA". It matches the Rfam family "Bacterial small subunit ribosomal RNA", at positions 26 to 525 of the family's 1533-position model. The record is from RNAcentral.